AGAGUUUGAUCCUGGGCUCAGGACAAACGCUGGCGGCGUGCCUAACACAUGCAAGUCGAACGUCCUUUUGCAAGAGAGGGCGUGGCGGACGGGUGAGGAACACGUGGAUAACCUACCUUCCAGUGAGGGAUACCGGCGAGAAAUCGCCGACAAUACCGCAUAGGCUCUUUCGUGAGAGAGAGCAAAGCCGCAAGGCGCUGGGAGAUGGGUCUGCGUCCGAUUAGCUAGCUGGUGGGGUAAAGGCCUACCAGGGCGACGAUCGGUAGCUGGUCUGAGAGGAUGAUCAGCCACACUGGGAUUGAGAACGGCCCAGACUCCUACGGGGGGCAGCAGUGAGGAAUCUUCGGCAAUGGGCGCAAGCCUGACCGAGCAACGCCGCGUGCAGGAAGACGGCCUUCGGGUUGUAAACUGCUUUUCUGUGGGACGAGCAAGGACGGUACCACAGGAACCAGCCCCGGCUAACUACGUGCCAGCAGCCGCGGUAAUACGUAGGGGGCGAGCGUUGUCCGGAGUUACUGGGCGUAAAGGGUACGCAGGCGGUUCUGCGCGUUUGGGGUGACAGCUCCCGGCUUCACUGGGAGAGGACUCUAAAGACGGCAGAACUUGAGGGCUGGAGAGGGAACGGGAACUCCUGGUGGAGCGGUGAAAUGCGUAGAGAUCAGGAAGAACAUCAAAGGCGAAGGCACGUUCCUGGACAGCAUCUGACGCUCAGGUACGACAGCUAGGGGAGCAAACGGGAUUAGAUACCCCGGUAGUCCUAGCCGUAAACGAUGACCACGAGGUGUGGGAGGUAUCGACCCCUUCCGUGCCGCCUCUAACGAAGUCAGUGGUCCGCCUGGGGAGUACGGUCGCAAGAUUAAAACUCAAAGGAAUUGACGGGGACCCGCACAAGCAGCGGAGCGUGUGGUUUAAUUCGAUGCAACGCGAAGCACCUUACCAGGGUUUGACAUGCUCUCGCAGCGUGCUGAGAGGCGCGUACCCGCAAGGGACGGGAGCACAGGUGCUGCAUGGCUGUCGUCAGCUCGUGCCGUGAGGUGUUGGGUUAAGUCCCGCAACGAGCGCAACCCCCAUCGUCGGUUAUUGGUGUCCGACGAGACUGCCACGAUCAACGUGGAGGAAGGCGGGGAUGACGUCAAGUCAGCACGGCCCUUACAUCCUGGGCGACACACACGCUACAAUGGUCGGGACAAAGAGUUGCCAACCCGCGAGGGGGAGCUAAUCUCAGCAAACCCGAUCUCAGUUCAGAUUGCAGGCUGCAACCCGCCUGCAUGAAGGAGGAGUUGCUAGUAACCGUGGGUCAGCACACCACGGUGAAUACGUUCCCGGGUCUUGUACACACCGCCCGUCACACCACGAAAGUCGGCAACACCUGAAGCCGCUGGGCUAACCUCGUCAGAGGAGGCAGGCGUCGAGGGUGGGGUCGGUGAUUGGGGUGAAGUCGUAACAAGGUAGCUGUACCGGAAGGUGCGGCUGGGAUCACCUCCUU
This 1486-nucleotide ribosomal RNA is filed under the name uncultured Ktedonobacteria bacterium. RNAcentral's name for it is "bacterial SSU rRNA". It matches the Rfam family "Bacterial small subunit ribosomal RNA". The record is from RNAcentral. Lineage: Bacteria; Bacillati; Chloroflexota; Ktedonobacteria.